CGUAAUAACAGAAACUAACCAGGAUUCCCUUAGUAACGGCGAGUGAACUGGGAUACCAAUAUAUUUAUGCGUCUCUGGCGCAUAUUUUUAGCCCGUCGAUACUAUCCUAGCGUAUUACCGGUUUCGGCCGGUAGCCCAAUACGCGGGAAUUGUAGCAUCGUAAUAAAAUAUACACCAUGCCUGCGUCGCAAACGUAUAUACACGUAUACUCACACACACACAUACUCUCGUACGCGUACACACCCCUUGCAAACACACAGCGCUCCCGCGUUGGAAAGCAAGUCUAUAUCCUCUUUGGAUAUGCCAUAGAGUGUGACAGCCACGUUUGAAACACCCUACGUACCGUACACACACAUACGUAAAAAUACGCGCUGCUUCGCAUACGCAUACCGUAUAUAACCUGAGUCGAGUUAUUU
RNAcentral lists this ribosomal RNA (416 nucleotides) under Ammonia sp. Its description in RNAcentral is "partial LSU ribosomal RNA". Lineage: Eukaryota; Foraminifera; Rotaliida; Rotaliidae. The record is from RNAcentral.